RNAcentral lists this small nuclear RNA (23 nucleotides) under Arabidopsis thaliana (thale cress). Its description in RNAcentral is "snRNA_14609". Lineage: Eukaryota; Viridiplantae; Streptophyta; Magnoliopsida; Brassicales; Brassicaceae. The record is from RNAcentral.
CGUUACGUUAUGUAAAAGAUGUU